This 201-nucleotide unclassified non-coding RNA is filed under the name Hevea brasiliensis (rubber tree). The record is from RNAcentral. Lineage: Eukaryota; Viridiplantae; Streptophyta; Magnoliopsida; Malpighiales; Euphorbiaceae.
AAAAACCAUGGCAUGGGAAAAGGAAAGAGGCGCUGAGUUCUUGUAUGAUGGUAUUCGCCUUCUUGCCAUGCUUGAAGAGUAUACCAUAUUACGCCAGGAGAAAGAGGAAGAAAGACGGAGGCAGAGGGAUCAGAAGAAAUUGCAGGGUCAGCUGAUAGCAGAGCAAGAGGCACUUUUUGGGUCAAAACCAAGCCCUUCAAA